RNAcentral lists this ribosomal RNA (252 nucleotides) under uncultured bacterium. RNAcentral's name for it is "partial 16S ribosomal RNA". It matches the Rfam family "Bacterial small subunit ribosomal RNA", at positions 524 to 776 of the family's 1533-position model. The record is from RNAcentral.
UACGGAGGAUGCGAGCGUUAUCCGGAUUUAUUGGGUUUAAAGGGUGCGUAGGCGGAUUUUUAAGUCAGCGGUAAAAUGUCCGGGCUCAACCCGGGCCGGCCGUUGAAACUGGGGAUCUUGAGUGGGCGAGAAGUAUGCGGAAUGCGUGGUGUAGCGGUGAAAUGCAUAGAUAUCACGCAGAACUCCGAUUGCGAAGGCAGCAUACCGGCGCCCGACUGACGCUGAGGCACGAAAGCGUGGGGAUCAAACAGG